Molecule: long non-coding RNA, 683 nt
Filed under: Homo sapiens (human)
Lineage: Eukaryota; Metazoa; Chordata; Mammalia; Primates; Hominidae
Description: novel transcript
Source: RNAcentral
CCCUCCACUUACACUAGAUUCCAUCCCCAAUGACUUUUUCAAGAAUUUAACUCCAGAAGUUAAACAUUAUUUCCUGCAUUAUGAAUCUCUACACCACCCCCAAGCAGGAUAAUUCAUUUUAGGUAGAAAUAUGUGGUAAUAGUUCUCAUUUAAAAUUCUGUACAUUUCCAGCUACUGCCUCAUUUACUCCUCUCUUUAUAGAAGAAAGCAUCGUUUGUCUUUAUUCAGCAUCUCCACUUUUUCUCUUGCAUUCUUUUGCUGUUGUUUUGUUUUUCUGGGAAAGUUCUUUAAUGUUUUUAAUUUGUUAUAAAAUAUUUCAGACUUUAAAAAUAAAAAGUAAAUAUAUUGUGUCAUAUAAUUUGUCUUCUCCUCUUAAAGCCGGAAGCUUCAUUUCUAAUGAUGAAUGUCCUUCAGAAUAUUAUCAUUGCAGACUGAAGUGCAAUGCUGAUGAACAUGCAAUUACAUACUGUGCUGACUUCAGCAUCUGCUGCAAACUGAAGAUCAUUGAAAUUGACGGACAAAAGAAGUGGUGAAAAUGCUAACUCCAUCUUCUUCAGACUCCAGGAGCAAAAACAUGUCUUAAACUCUCUUAUCUACGAAUAAUUAACAUGAUGGAUGAAAAUUAUUAUAAUUGCAUGUUUAGAUGGUCAGGUGAAAAUGAAUAUAAAUUUUAUAAAUGCUUA